UGCGUGGCAUGACUUGGCAGAACAGGAGCACCCCCUCCUCUCCCACAGUUCCUGCUCAAUUGUUCCUACAAAGGAGAGAAGAAUCAACGGGUACAGACAGCAUCGAAACAUUAAUAACUCGGAUAAGUGCCCAGUUGACUUUGAGAUGAGGUGGCUUCUGGACUGCAGUGCAAAUGAAUUUGCCAAACACUCCAUGGACUGAGAUUGGUAUGGCAACCUACUAAGCUGCUAAGGGGAAAGAGUUUCCAUGAACAUUCCUGCUUUAGCAGGAGGAGCACUAAUACACAUUUUAAGUCUGAAAUAGAAAUUGUUAUAAAGUUUCCAGCCAACAGUUUUGUUUCUCCAAGGGACGCGGUACAAGUCCACAGGAACACAAGAGUUGUGAAUUACUGAUUGCAUACCAGUGUGUGUGCAGCAGGUAGCCAAUGGAUAUCCCAAGACCUGUCAAGGUUCUGCCUUUUACCAUUUUUUUUCAUUCAGUGAUGCUUUAGUUAAGGGCUGCCAAAGUUGCCAAGAAGAACAUGGUGUUUGAUAACCAGACACCUGCUCUGUAUUUUCUUCUGUGAUCCGCGUGAUGUCAGCAACACAGCUUACUAUGAAUGGAGAUUUGUAUUCCUGAUUGGGUAGUAAUUAGCUCUUUUUACAUGUAGUAUCUUUUUUAAGACAACUCAGUAGGUGUGUUAUUAAUUUGCUCAUUACUAG
Gallus gallus (chicken) is the source of this 702-nucleotide long non-coding RNA. Lineage: Eukaryota; Metazoa; Chordata; Aves; Galliformes; Phasianidae. The record is from Ensembl.